UAGGGAAUCUUCCACAAUGGACGCAAGUCUGAUGGAGCAACGGCCGCGUGAGUGAAGAAGGCUUUCGGGUCGUAAAACUCUGUUAUUGAAGAAGAACGUGCGUGACAGUAACUGGUCAUGCAGUGACGGUAUUCAAUCAGAAAGUCACGGCUAACUACGUGCCAGCAGCCGCGGUAAUACGUAGGUGGCAAGCGUUGUCCGGAUUUAUUGGGCGUAAAGCGAGUGCAGGCGGUCUUUUAAGUCUGAUGUGAAAGCCUUCGGCUUAACCGAAGAAGGGCAUCGGAAACUGGGAGACUUGAGUGCAGAAGAGGAGAGUGGAACUCCAUGUGUAGCGGUGAAAUGCGUAGAUAUAUGGAAGAACACCAGUGGCGAAGGCGGCUCUCUGGUCUGUAACUGACGCUGAGGCUCGAAAGCGUGGGUAGCAAACAGGAUUAGAUACCCUGGUAGUCCACGC
RNAcentral lists this ribosomal RNA (454 nucleotides) under uncultured bacterium. RNAcentral's name for it is "partial 16S ribosomal RNA". It matches the Rfam family "Bacterial small subunit ribosomal RNA", at positions 355 to 800 of the family's 1533-position model. The record is from RNAcentral.